AUACGGAGGGUGCAAGCGUUACUCGGAAUCACUGGGCGUAAAGGACGCGUAGGCGGGUUGUCAAGUCAGAUGUGAAAUCCUACAGCUUAACUGUAGAACUGCAUUUGAAACUGGCAACCUAGAGUAUGUGAGGGGGAGAUGGAAUUAGUGGUGUAGGGGUAAAAUCCGUAGAUAUCACUAGGAAUACCGAAAGCGAAGGCGAUCUCCUGGAACAUAACUGACGCUAAGGCGUGAAAGCGUGGGGAGCAAACAGAAUUAGAAACCCUAGUAGUCC
RNAcentral lists this ribosomal RNA (274 nucleotides) under uncultured bacterium. RNAcentral's name for it is "partial 16S ribosomal RNA". It matches the Rfam family "Bacterial small subunit ribosomal RNA", at positions 523 to 796 of the family's 1533-position model. The record is from RNAcentral.